Molecule: ribosomal RNA, 440 nt
Filed under: uncultured bacterium
Lineage: Bacteria
Description: bacterial SSU rRNA
Rfam family: Bacterial small subunit ribosomal RNA
Source: RNAcentral
CCUACGGGAGGCAGCAGUGGGGAAUAUUGGACAAUGGGCGCAAGCCUGAUCCAGCAAUACCGCGUGAGUGAUGAAGGUCUUCGGAUUGUAAAGCUCUUUUAGUGGAGAAGAUAAUGACGGUAUCCACAGAAAAAGCACCGGCAAACUUCGUGCCAGCAGCCGCGGUAAUACGAAGGGUGCUAGCGUUGUUCGGAAUUAUUGGGCGUAAAGCGUACGUAGGCGGCUUGAUAAGUCGAGUGUGAAAUCCCAGAGCUCAACUUUGGAAUUGCAAUCGAAACUGUCUCGCUAGAGUUUGGUGGGGGAUGGCAGAAUUUCUAGUGUAGGGGUGAAAUCCGUAGAUAUUAGAAGGAAUACCAGUGGCGAAGGCGGCCAUCUAUGCCAAUACUGACGCUAAGGUACGAAAGCGUGGGGAGCAAACAGGAUUAGAUACCCCGGUAGUC